UAGAGGGCUGUAAUUGUUGAAGGUAAGUACCUUAGACUCCUGGAAGGGGCUUCAGAUGACAAAAUCUGCUUUCCAUUCACUUCUGAGCCCUCGACCUCACUUCUGUUACUUAGAGAUCAUCAAGAACUGAGAACCAGCAGAACAGCAGAAUUCUUCAAACCAAAGGCAGGAGUAUUCUCCAAGCCUCCAGCAACUGGUGGACUGGGGAUUUCAAGAACCAGAGGAAUGUUUGACCUGACACUACACUGAAUUUAUGAGAGUGAAAUCCCUUCACAAAGGCAAGUGCUGAAAAUUUAUUACAUCUGUUUCACCUUGUGGGAAAAUUACUUGGUUUACAGAAAAACUAAAAGAAAAACUAAAAUCAUGGAAUGAAACUGCACAACAUCCCAGAAGCAGGUCACUUCUGCUGUACUUGGAGAGUUUUCUUCUGGCAGAACUGCAGAGCAACAUGAGUGGCCAAAGUAUAGCCUUAUGACUGAAAAUACAAGAAAC
RNAcentral lists this long non-coding RNA (492 nucleotides) under Anas zonorhyncha (Eastern spot-billed duck). Its description in RNAcentral is "lncRNA (ENSAZOG00000018733.1)". The record is from RNAcentral. Lineage: Eukaryota; Metazoa; Chordata; Aves; Anseriformes; Anatidae.